RNAcentral lists this long non-coding RNA (1467 nucleotides) under Monodelphis domestica (gray short-tailed opossum). RNAcentral's name for it is "lncRNA (ENSMODG00000040585.1)". Lineage: Eukaryota; Metazoa; Chordata; Mammalia; Didelphimorphia; Didelphidae. The record is from RNAcentral.
CUCCUCUGGGGCUGGUGUUCCAUCUACUCAGACACCUAGCUGCCCCUUUUAGGUGCUAUUUUGAUCCCUAUUUACAGUUGUGGAAACAGAGGCAGAGAGAGGUUAAGUGAUUUGCCCAGGUCUGAUUCCUAAGAAGUGUCUACAGCUGGAUUUAAACUUAGGUCUUCCUGUCUCUACCACCUGGCUGGCUCUAUUAGCUGUGUGACUCUUAACCACCAGCAGUGCCAGAAAACCCUCUUCUUCCCUGUUCCAGGCUCCUACUUGGGUCUCAGGAUCAUAGAUCUGGAGCUAGAAGGAGCCUUACAAGGCAACUAGCCCACUUGCCUCAUUUCACCAAUAACAAAAGUGAGGCUGAGGAACGGAGAGUGAUGUCCACAGUCACAGAGUAACUGCAUGGCGUCAAUGGAGGUGUCCUUUCUGAUCGGGAUCCUGGGAGGUUCUGUUCUGAUACAUCCAAACUCAGAAAUAGGAAAUGACACCUCAAGGAUUAGUUGGUAUCAUCAUUCACUUGAAGAGAAUCUGCACCUACUCACCAGCAGGCCAGGGGAGAGCAGUCCAAGCUGGAUCAUUCCCCAGAAGGAAUAUGAGAGGAGGCUGUCAACCCCUGAUGGGAAGUCUCUGGAGAUCCUGAAUCUGACCCUGGAAGACUGUGGGCUUUAUGUGGCUGAAAUCACAUCAGUCUCAGGAGUGUUCCAGACUGAAAAGUUCAAUUUAACCAUCUCUGUUUUAGGCCCUGAGACUACAGAUUCUAACAAGGAUCCAUGGAUUUGGGAGGUUCCCCUGCUUGUCAUAGUCCCGAUAAUGUUGGUGAUCAUUGUGGGGGCAGUUUUUUACUAUAUUAAGAAAGGCUGCUAUUACAAAAAUCAAGGUAACUUGAGGACAAGGAUGAUUAAAGCUCUACUGGAACAAUGGGGUUUGGGGAUGAAUUACAUUGAUUUUAUAUUUUGGAAAGGUGGGAGGAGGAAAUGAACCCUGAACCCUGGAGAUUCUAGUCAGUAGACUAAUUUCCUGGAAAGGAUACACCAAUUUUCCUUGGAGAGCCACUUUUCUCAUCUUUAGGCAUUCUCACAGGAGGAAACAUUACCAAUUGGAGGAGUUGAGGGGAUUAGAACAGUGAGGGGUUAAUUGUGGGAAUUGAAUGAAGCACAUUGACUACUCAAGGAUGGUCCUACUCUAAAUUCUAUCCUGUGAGAAAACUUAUUCAGUUAUGGAACUUGGGAGAAAUCCUUAUUGUAUAGUCUGAACCUAGUCCUGCAUGGCCCCCUAUGCCUUAUUUGUCAAGAAACUUAACCAAAGACCUGGGUUAUGUUGACCAGAAAUACAGUCAGAUCCUAAUAGGAUUAAUGUAGUUUUCUCAUAAUUAUACAUCUCAAGCAAAUUCUGUAUUGUAAAUGCCCAAACUGUAAGGAUAAUUUUUAGUGUUUUGACUUAAAAUCUAAAAUAAAUGGUCCCCAUGGGAAAUUCCCA